GGCGUGGCGCAAUUGGUAGCGCAACGGUCUCCAAAACCGUAGGUUGCAGGUUCGAGUCCUGU
RNAcentral lists this transfer RNA (62 nucleotides) under uncultured Corynebacterium sp. It matches the Rfam family "tRNA", at positions 8 to 63 of the family's 71-position model. Rfam says of the family: Transfer RNA (tRNA) molecules are approximately 80 nucleotides in length. Their secondary structure includes four short double-helical elements and three loops (D, anti-codon, and T loops). Further hydrogen bonds mediate the characteristic L-shaped molecular structure. tRNAs have two regions of fundamental functional importance: the anti-codon, which is responsible for specific mRNA codon recognition, and the 3' end, to which the tRNAs corresponding amino acid is attached (by aminoacyl-tRNA synthetases). tRNAs cope with the degeneracy of the genetic code in two manners: having more than one tRNA (with a specific anti-codon) for a particular amino acid; and 'wobble' base-pairing, i.e. permitting non-standard base-pairing at the 3rd anti-codon position. Lineage: Bacteria; Bacillati; Actinomycetota; Actinomycetes; Mycobacteriales; Corynebacteriaceae. The record is from RNAcentral.